This 439-nucleotide ribosomal RNA is filed under the name uncultured bacterium. RNAcentral's name for it is "partial 16S ribosomal RNA". It matches the Rfam family "Bacterial small subunit ribosomal RNA", at positions 339 to 795 of the family's 1533-position model. The record is from RNAcentral.
CUACGGGAGGCACCAGUGGGGAAUCUUGGACAAUGGGCGCAAGCCUGAUCCAGCCAUGCCGCGUGAGUGAAGAAGGCCUUAGGGUCGUAAAGCUCUUUCGCCAGAGAUGAUAAUGACAGUAUCUGGUAAAGAAACCCCGGCUAACUCCGUGCCAGCAGCCGCGGUAAUAGGGAGGGGGUUAGCGUUGUUCGGAAUUACUGGGCGUAAAGCGCGCGUAGGCGGAUUAGUCAGUCAGAGGUGAAAUCCCAGGGCUCAACCCUGGAACUGCCUUUGAUACUGCUAGUCUUGAGUUCGAGAGAGGUGAGUGGAAUUCCGAGUGUAGAGGUGAAAUUCGUAGAUAUUCGGAGGAACACCAGUGGCGAAGGCGGCUCACUGGCUCGAUACUGACGCUGAGGCGCGAAAGUGUGGGGAGCAAACAGGAUUAGAUACCCCCGUAGUC